GGUUAUCUGUCUUUCACUGCGGAUACCGGGAAGGGAGGCCGGACCGCGAGGGAGACGCCAAGAGAAUUGGCACUUCGGAGGGAAGUCCGUGCAAAACGUCUCCAUCUAUCAUGCUGUCUGGGUUUCCACAGCAGCGUUAUUGACACAGUAAAUUAAAGAAGGCACACAUCAGGUAGCUGACGGAGCCGAGGCGUCAACAGCAAACUUAUAAUCGCAGCUCUGUCACAGUGGGAGGAAGAGGAAAAUCUGACGCCCAGGAGGACAGGAAAUCGCAUGCCAAAAACACAUUACUCCUCAACCCCAAUUUGCACAGAUGACAGAGAUGAUGUGGUGUCCUCUUCCCUCUCAGAUGGUGAACUGGAACACCAUGGCACCCUUUAACAUGCUGAUGGGACUAUGAUCAGACACAGUGCAUCAAAUCGAGCUGUAAAUGUACACAAGAAACUUUGGAAAUGUAAUCACCAAAACCACCUACAGAUGUGGUCAGACAUAAGACAUCAGAUUUGUCCAUAAUAACUAAGUGUUAUGGGAAAACAUGGGAGUUAGUUAUUUGACAGACUUAGCUUUAAUAAAAUAACUUGUUAAAGAAAGUUUGAUUUUUAGUGCCUGAGAAACAUCAUCAGGUGCUGCUGUUUUGAGUACUUUUGCAUGAGCAAGAUGUUAAACCCUGUAAGAUUUGGGCUUUUUUCUGCUUUUUCAUUUGUGCUAAUCACACUUAAAAUAAAAGUUCUAGCACUUGUGUUUUGUCCCACAGACCCCACUGCUAUUAUAUCAAAUAAGAUAAGAUAUUCCAUGUUUUAUAUAAUAUGAGUUUUGAAUGAAUAAAUAUAGAUUACAUGUUAGUUGGAGCAGGGUUUGUAUCUUCCAGUUUUUUCCAGGAAAAAACCAUACAUUCUCACUCCCAACUCAUCACAUAUGGACGCUUGGUUAGGACCCCAUGGCGUCACAUUGUAAGGCACUGGGUACCCCAUUAGUGUCAUCUGUCAAUAUGCAGAGGCCUGCAGUUAGCAAUGAUAAA
Chelmon rostratus (copperband butterflyfish) is the source of this 1018-nucleotide long non-coding RNA. RefSeq lists it as uncharacterized. The record is from RefSeq and is a predicted model, not a curated record. NCBI's taxonomy places the organism in Eukaryota, Metazoa, Chordata, Actinopteri, Chaetodontiformes, Chaetodontidae. The transcript is spliced from 4 exons.